Molecule: transfer RNA, 87 nt
Filed under: Conyzicola nivalis
Lineage: Bacteria; Bacillati; Actinomycetota; Actinomycetes; Micrococcales; Microbacteriaceae
Description: tRNA-Met
Source: RNAcentral
CCGGUGCAGCUCGGUUGGGACGAACUCGAUCAUGCCGAGGCCGUGGCGUCGAAGGGUGCCAAGCUGGCGCUGCACCUGCGCACCGGA